GACGAACGCUGGCGGCGUGCUUAACACAUGCAAGUCGAACGGAAAGGCCCUGCUUUUGUGGGGUGCUCGAGUGGCGAACGGGUGAGUAACACGUGAGUACCCUGCCCUUGACUUUGGGAUAACUUCAGGAAACUGGGGCUAAUACCGGAUAGGAGCUCCUGCUGCAUGGUGGGGGUUGGAAAGUUUCGGCGGUUGGGGAUGGACUCGCGGCUUAUCAGCUUGUUGGUGGGGUAGUGGCUUACCAAGGCUUUGCCGGGUAGCCGGCCUGAGAGGGUGACCGGCCACAUUGGGACUGAGAUACGGCCCAGACUCCUACGGGAGGCAGCAGGGGGGAAUAUGGCACAAUGGGCGGAAGCCUGAUGCAGCAACGCCGCGUGCGGGAUGACGGCCUGCGGGUUGUAAACCGCUUUCGCCUGUGACGAAGCGGGAGUGACGGUAAUGGGUAAAGAAGCACCGGCUAACUACGUG
RNAcentral lists this ribosomal RNA (468 nucleotides) under uncultured bacterium. Its description in RNAcentral is "partial 16S ribosomal RNA". It matches the Rfam family "Bacterial small subunit ribosomal RNA", at positions 28 to 507 of the family's 1533-position model. The record is from RNAcentral.